Molecule: ribosomal RNA, 541 nt
Filed under: uncultured bacterium
Lineage: Bacteria
Description: bacterial SSU rRNA
Rfam family: Bacterial small subunit ribosomal RNA
Source: RNAcentral
CUCCUACGGGAGGCUGCAGUGGGGAAUCUUGCGCAAUGGGCGAAAGCCUGACGCAGCGACGCCGCGUGAGUGAUGAAGGCCUUCGGGUUGUAAAGCUCUGUGGGGAGAGACGAAUAAGUGCGGGCUAAUACUCCGCAUGAUGACGGUAUCUCCUUAGCAAGCACCGGCUAACUCUGUGCCAGCAGCCGCGGUAAGACAGAGGGUGCAAACGUUGUUCGGAAUUACUGGGCGUAAAGCGAGUGUAGGCGGUUUGGAAAGUCGGAUGUGAAAGCCCCAGGCUCAACCUGGGAAGUGCAUUCGAUACUCCCAAGCUAGAGUACUGGAGAGGUUGGUGGAAUUCUCGGUGUAGAGGUGAAAUUCGUAGAUAUCGAGAGGAACACCGGUGGCGAAGGCGGCCAACUGGACAGAUACUGACGCUGAGACUCGAAAGCGUGGGGAGCAAACAGGAUUAGAUACCCUGGUAGUCCACGCCGUAAACGAUGGGUGCUAGGUGUCGCGGGCUUUGACUCCUGCGGUGCCGUAGCUAACGCAUAAGCACCCC